CCCCCCCAAUCAACCACAUAAAAGAAAUACAUAAACAAAAGCAAACCCUAAAGAUUAAGAAAAGUUUUGAUUUUUAAGUUUUUUUUAAUACGAGUCUUUCAAACUCCCAUCUUGAAAUGGCAGAGAUACGCCCACCUGAGACCCAUCCAAACAACGGUGGCGGCGGCGGUAGCAGCGGAGGUGGAGGAGGGGCACUAACAUCAUCGGAAACUGUGGGUUCAAAGAGGCAGCGGAGGCCAAGUGUCCGAUUAGGCGAGAUAGGCGGCGGAGACCAGCUUUAUGAAUCCCAACACCACCGUAGAACUGCCAGCAACAGUAACAAGCAAUGGAAACAACAACAACAACAGAGUUUGGGUUUUAAAGAGGCAAGUAAAUCAUCAAAGACUCGAGCUUUAACGAAUUUAAGUGAGUUUAAUGAAAUCCUUGAUGGGGAUAAUGAUAUUAAUUUGGAUAGUGUUGCAAUUGGGAGUUGGAGAGUUAAUCAUUCUUCGAAAAAGAGAGGGUCUUUGAAUGUUAGUGCAAAGCGAGUUAGGUCUAACUGGGUGUCUAAAUUUGAUGAUAGUAGUGGUGGUGGUGGUGGUGGUAAUGGUGGUGAAGGGGAGGAGAAAUACAGUGGUGGUGAAGACGAGGAGGAGGAGGAGGAGGAGGAGGAGGAGGAUUGUAGAGAAUUUGAUGUUGAGAAUUCAGAGACUUUGUUGAAAGAACAAAGCCGAAUUCGUGAUCCACUUGAUAAUUUGGGAGAUGGGAAUGAGAGGAAUGGGAGGGAAGUGCAUUGCUAUAGGAGGGUAAUUAGGGGGAGGAAUGAUCGUAAUGUUAAUCAUGAUUAUCGUCAUGACGGUGUUGAUUUAUCAGGUCCAUCUGAUAAUGAUAUGAGAGAUUAUAGGAAUAUUGGGAGGUGUGGUGGUGGAGGGGAGGACGGAGUGAGGAUUUGGCUGAAUAGUUUAGGGUUAGGGAGAUACGCACCAGUUUUUGAGAUUCAUGAGGUGGAUGAUGAGGUUUUGCCAAAGUUGACAUUGGAGGAUUUGAAGGAUAUGGGGAUCAAUGCUGUUGGGUCUAGAAGGAAGAUGUUUUGUGCGAUUCAGAAGCUAGGAAAGGGGUUUUCUUGAUGUUUUUUGGUGAGCUUGUAGAGGUUUUUUUUUAAUGGAUAACUUUUCUCAGCCAUGGUAAUUAAGAUGCAUCAUGUCUGAAUUUAAUUUGACCUAUUUCGUUCCGUCUAUUAGAAAUAUCAGUACUUUUUGGUAUUAGUAGGAUGUUUUGGUUAGUAUUACUUUCUUGCCCUAUAUCAAUGCAUUUUUAAUUCAGUGCAAUAUUCUAUUACAUGGCCCUUGAGUUGAUUUGCUGAAGUAGUUGUGGCUGUUUUAAUGAGCCUGAAGCUAUAUCACUUCUUCAUUUGAUUCUUGGAGAAAUUCAUGAAAAGGAAAUUGCUUUAAAUAUUCUUAUGAAAAGAGUUCAAAAUCAAAGCAUAAGUCUUUUGCUUUACUUCAUUCCUUUUGAGAUUGAAAGCAGAUUAGUUGAAGUUCUAAGCCAAAAGUUGAAUGUGAAUAAUCAUACUUGCAAUUAGUGAAUGGAGAAAAACUGUAAUUCUUUAUGCAAUAUAAGCAUGUUGUUUGUAGUCCAUGAUGUUUGCAUAUUUUCUGUGUUUGUUCCUUUAUUCAUCUCUCGGGUGGUAUUGUCUUCUAAAACUCUUCAGUAACUUAUAUAAACCUGUUGUGAUUAGAGUCCAGAACUGGUUGCCAGUCCUCAACACUAGAAGAUUGACUUUCUAUUGAGCUCAGAGUUAGUGGUUUUUAGAAAUUGUCAGCAGGAAGUGCAACCUAUCUAAUGAGGUGUGGUCUGUGUUUCAACUUUUAAGGUCCGCUAAGGUUGCCAGAAGUUCUAGCUACCUUUUUGUGGUGUAUAGCAGUGCAGUUUUUAACACGCUAAGGUACUCUAAAGUUGUAUGUGGAAUACUUUGCGAACUGCGACUAGGAAAAAGUAAGUCAUUGCAUGAAUGAGGACUCAACUUGUGGAGUGGGUUCUGUAAGAGACAGAUGUUACAUUCAAGAAGAGUAUAUGUUGUUCAUAUUUUUGGAGAAUAGGGUUACUGGAUUGGUGAUCCAAUGCAUAGCGCCUUUAUUCAGAGCAUGUUGGUUACUUAAGAGGAAAUAUUAAGCCGAUUACAAAGAUUCGGAGAAGACCAGUUAAGCAACUCAGGUUAGGAUAUUCUUGAUCAAGAAUCGAUGUAGAGGUCUCAAGCUAACUGAACAGUGGUGAAGGGAUGCAUCCCUUUGGUGUCUGUUUCCCAGUAAAGGCGUACCGGUGAAAUUUGUUUUAGCAAGAGCUAUGCUAGAUGCACUCAAUUCUAAGCUAAUGCUAGCUAUACAUGUACCCUUCUUUUGUGGAAUAAAUUGAAUGAUAUACAGAUGCAUGCCAAAACCUAUCAUUUUAUGAUUAUUUUUGAUGUUGGGAAAGGGGAUAGAGUAUCAUUGUUGUUGGUUGAUGGAGAGAAAUCUUGGAGCAUUCUAAAGGCUGCAUUACAUGUCUCUUAAUGAAUAAUAUUGUUUCUUUUCCAUUGUUCC
Molecule: RNA transcript, 2558 nt
Organism: Populus nigra (black poplar)
Lineage: Eukaryota; Viridiplantae; Streptophyta; Magnoliopsida; Malpighiales; Salicaceae
Exons: 2
Source: RefSeq, a predicted model, not a curated record